CUCCAUGUAUAUUUGGAACCUGUCUUCUGUGACAGUCUCCCUUCCUAGCCACGGAAGAGCAUAUUCUUGGUUUUUGCAAAGCUAUCACCAUUUAGUUGGUAUCAGAUUCUGAUUUGCACAGGUAACAUUC
Molecule: small nucleolar RNA, 130 nt
Organism: Mesocricetus auratus (golden hamster)
Lineage: Eukaryota; Metazoa; Chordata; Mammalia; Rodentia; Cricetidae
Source: Ensembl